CCCUUAGAUGUCCUGGGCCGCACGCGCGUUACACUGAUGCAUUCAACGAGCAUAUAACCUUGGCCGAGAGGCCUGGGUAAUCUUGUUAACAUGCAUCGUGAUAGGGAUAGAUUAUUGCAAUUAUUAAUCUUGAACGAGGAAUUCCUAGUAAACGCAAGUCAUCAGCUUGCAUUGAUUACGUCCCUGCCCUUUGUACACACCGCCCGUCGCACCUACCGAUUGGGUGUGCUGGUGAAAUGUUCGGAUCGGCCGUUUGUCGCGGUUUCCGCGUCGUGUGGCUGAGAAGUUCAUUAAACCCUCCCACCUAGAGGAAGGAGAAGUCGUAACA
Molecule: ribosomal RNA, 328 nt
Filed under: uncultured eukaryote
Lineage: Eukaryota
Description: partial 18S ribosomal RNA
Rfam family: Eukaryotic small subunit ribosomal RNA
Source: RNAcentral